GACGAACGCUGGCGGCGUGCUUAACACAUGCAAGUCGAACGGAAAGGCCCUGCUUUUGUGGGGUGCUCGAGUGGCGAACGGGUGAGUAACACGUGAGUAACCUGCCCUUGACUUUGGGAUAACUUCAGGAAACUGGGGCUAAUACCGGAUAGGAGCUCCUGCUGCAUGGUGGGGGUUGGAAAGUUUCGGCGGUUGGGGAUGGACUCGCGGCUUAUCCGCUUGUUGGUGGGGUAGUGGCUUACCAAGGCUUUGACGGGUAGCCGGCCUGAGAGGGUGACCGGCCACAUUGGGACUGAGAUACGGCCCAGACUCCUACGGGAGGCAGCGGUGGGGAAUAUUGCACAAUGGGCGGAAGCCUGAUGCAGCAACGCCGCGUGCGGGAUGACGGCCUUCGGGUUGUAAACCGCUUUCGCCUGUGACGAAGCGUGAGUGACGGUAAUGGGUAAAGAAGCACCGGCUAACUACGUG
This 468-nucleotide ribosomal RNA is filed under the name uncultured bacterium. Its description in RNAcentral is "partial 16S ribosomal RNA". It matches the Rfam family "Bacterial small subunit ribosomal RNA", at positions 28 to 507 of the family's 1533-position model. The record is from RNAcentral.